GUGCUUGGGCGAGAGUAGUACUAGGAUGGGUGACCCCCUCAGAUGUCCUCGUGUUGCACCCCC
This 63-nucleotide ribosomal RNA is filed under the name Mentha x gracilis (Scotch spearmint). The record is from RNAcentral. Lineage: Eukaryota; Viridiplantae; Streptophyta; Magnoliopsida; Lamiales; Lamiaceae.